This 253-nucleotide ribosomal RNA is filed under the name uncultured bacterium. Its description in RNAcentral is "partial 16S ribosomal RNA". It matches the Rfam family "Bacterial small subunit ribosomal RNA", at positions 524 to 776 of the family's 1533-position model. The record is from RNAcentral.
UACGUAGGGUCCGAGCGUUGUCCGGAAUUACUGGGCGUAAAGAGCUCGUAGGUGGUUUGUCGCGUUGUUCGUGAAAACUCACAGCUUAACUGUGGGCGUGCGGGCGAUACGGGCGGACUUGAGUACUGCAGGGGAGACUGGAAUUCCUGGUGUAGCGGUGGAAUGCGCAGAUAUCAGGAGGAACACCGGUGGCGAAGGCGGGUCUCUGGGCAGUAACUGACGCUGAGGAGCGAAAGCGUGGGGAGCGAACAGG